UGAGGAAUAUUGGUCAAUGGGCGGGAGCCUGAACCAGCCAAGUCGCGUGAAGGAAGAAGGAUCUAUGGUUCGUAAACUUCUUUUGCAGGGGAAUAAAGUGCAGGACGUGUCCUGUUUUGUAUGUACCCUGAGAAUAAGGAUCGGCUAACUCCGUGCCAGCAGCCGCGGUAAUACGGAGGAUCCGAGCGUUAUCCGGAUUUAUUGGGUUUAAAGGGUGCGUAGGUGGUUUGAUAAGUCAGCGGUGAAAGUUUGCAGCUUAACUGUAAAAAUGCCGUUGAAACUGUCGGACUUGAGUGUAAAUGAGGUAGGCGGAAUGCGUGGUGUAGCGGUGAAAUGCAUAGAUAUCACGCAGAACUCCGAUUGCGAAGGCAGCUUACUAAGCUACAACUGACACUGAAGCACGAAAGCGUGGGGAUCAAAUA
RNAcentral lists this ribosomal RNA (422 nucleotides) under uncultured bacterium. RNAcentral's name for it is "bacterial SSU rRNA". It matches the Rfam family "Bacterial small subunit ribosomal RNA", at positions 355 to 774 of the family's 1533-position model. The record is from RNAcentral.